RNAcentral lists this ribosomal RNA (278 nucleotides) under unidentified marine bacterioplankton. RNAcentral's name for it is "partial 16S ribosomal RNA". It matches the Rfam family "Bacterial small subunit ribosomal RNA", at positions 58 to 339 of the family's 1533-position model. The record is from RNAcentral. RNAcentral also lists the same sequence under 1 other name.
CAAGUCGAACGAUGAAGUUCCUUCGGGAAUGGAUUAGUGGCGAACGGGUGAGGAACACGUGAGAGACCUGCCUUUCAUUCUGGGAUAACACCGGGAAACCGGUGCUAAUACCGGAUACUCCAUCUUGGCGGCAUCGCCGAGCUGGGAAAAAUUUUGAUGAAAGAUGGUCUCGCGGCCUAUCAGCUAGUUGGUGAGGUAAAGGCUCACCAAGGCGACGACGGGUAGCCGGCCUGAGAGGGCGACCGGCCACACUGGGACUGAGACACGGCCCAGACUCC